CUUUUGAAACAUGGCUAGAGGCAACUGUCAGUGGAAGUUAAAGAUGUGCCAAGAAAUGAAGGGAUGAGGUAGUCAUCACACUAAAAAUAAUAAAAGCAGUUAGAGUCAGGGAAGACUGAAAUGCCCAUCUGUGCCCGAUGCCAGCAACGGUCAGCGGUCAGGGGAAGAGAUGGAGAGCUGGUAGCUGGACUGGAAACUCAGGUUGAUCUUGAGAAUUCCUGCCAUCCCACCCUGGUCCCAGCUUCCUGGAGAAAGUGUUUUAGACACCUUUUAUGAAGUAGAAGGAAGGAGGAAGCACAGCUCUCGGAUGCCCUGUUUCUGAGCUCUGCAACCUUUAACCUUGGAUGGAAAAGGGCCGUGCAGAAGGGAUGACCACAGCCUCCUGAUGUGACCGUGACUGGACAACACCAGGG
Molecule: long non-coding RNA, 413 nt
Filed under: Capra hircus (goat)
Lineage: Eukaryota; Metazoa; Chordata; Mammalia; Artiodactyla; Bovidae
Description: lncRNA (ENSCHIG00000002035.1)
Source: RNAcentral